GUUAUGUUUUUAGGCGGCACAUUGGCCACUUUUCAUUCUUCUACGCAAGUGUUUGUUGUAAUGCGGCGUCGGGCAGGGCUCUCGCCACCACCCUCCAACCGUUAAGGUGCACAGGGGUUUGUGAAGGUUGAGCGGGACGGGAGACCCGCUGCAAAGGCCCUUUCGGGACCCGAGCAGGGCCGACCCACCACGUCAGAGAUACGUUAAUGAUCCUUCCGCAGGUUCACCUACGGAAA
This 236-nucleotide unclassified non-coding RNA is filed under the name uncultured fungus. Its description in RNAcentral is "sequence contains ITS1". The record is from RNAcentral. Lineage: Eukaryota; Fungi.